Molecule: ribosomal RNA, 438 nt
Filed under: uncultured soil bacterium
Lineage: Bacteria
Description: bacterial SSU rRNA
Rfam family: Bacterial small subunit ribosomal RNA
Source: RNAcentral
AGAACGAACGCUGGCGGCAGGCCUAACACAUGCAAGUCGAACGCCCCGCAAGGGGAGUGGCAGACGGGUGAGUAACGCGUGGGAACGUACCCUUCGGUUCGGAAUAACCCGGGGAAACUCGGGCUAAUACCGGAUACGUCCGCAAGGAGAAAGAUUUAUCGCCGAAGGAUCGGCCCGCGUUGGAUUAGCUAGUUGGCGGGGUAAUGGCCCACCAAGGCGACGAUCCAUAGCUGGUCUGAGAGGAUGAUCAGCCACACUGGGACUGAGACACGGCCCAGACUCCUACGGGAGGCAGCAGUGGGGAAUAUUGGACAAUGGGCGAAAGCCUGAUCCAGCCAUGCCGCGUGAGUGAAGAAGGCCUAGGGUUGAAAGCUCUUUCAGCGGGAAGAUAAUGACGGUACCGCAGAAGAAGCCCGCUAACUUCGCGCCAGCAGCCGC